Molecule: long non-coding RNA, 519 nt
Filed under: Androctonus crassicauda
Lineage: Eukaryota; Metazoa; Arthropoda; Arachnida; Scorpiones; Buthidae
Source: RNAcentral
GGAAACUUAAAAGCAUUGUUUAAAUCCGAGUUGAAUCACGUUUAAGUUUAAAUAUUUUAUGUAUAAAUUAUUAUUAUUAUUAAUUAACUAGUAUGACAAUAAUUAUUAAUUAAGUGAUAAAAAUUUAAUAGAUAGAAGGAUUUUUUUCUUCUUAACUACGUUUUAGAGUAGUGGAGAUGAUGAUUUUUAUAAGUGGAAGAACCAGAUACCAUUUGCAUGCAUUAUAGAACAUGCUCCCAAUAACCCAGUCACUCAAGAUAAGAAAUGCCACACCUUGCAUUGAGAAGUUUCAUUCAUUCUCUGGAGAAGGAAGUUUUGCAAAUCUCUGUAAGAUAGCGUGUUGGUAUUGCCUAAAGAUCAGAAGACAGAAUACAUCAUGCAGAAAGGAGAACAAACGUGUAACCAAUUUGGCGACUAUAAGAUUAAAAAUAAUAAUAAUAAAUUCUCAAUUAUGCAUUUUCUUUUUGAAACAUUUUUUCCGUUAAUAUUGAAGUUAAUAUUGCGAUUUUUGAAUUUCCG